This 745-nucleotide ribosomal RNA is filed under the name uncultured bacterium. Its description in RNAcentral is "bacterial SSU rRNA". It matches the Rfam family "Bacterial small subunit ribosomal RNA", at positions 33 to 773 of the family's 1533-position model. The record is from RNAcentral.
ACGCUGGCGGCAGGCCUAACACAUGCAAGUCGAGCGGAUGAAGAGAGCUUGCUCUCUGAUUCAGCGGCGGACGGGUGAGUAAUGCCUAGGAAUCUGCCUGGUAGUGGGGGACAACGUCUCGAAAGGGACGCUAAUACCGCAUACCUCCUACGGGAGAAAGCAGGGGACCUUCGGGCCUUGCGCUAUCAGAUGAGCCUAGGUCGGAUUAGCUAGUUGGUGAGGUAAUGGCUCACCAAGGCGACGAUCCGUAACUGGUCUGAGAGGAUGAUCAGUCACACUGGAACUGAGACACGGUCCAGACUCCUACGGGAGGCAGCAGUGGGGAAUAUUGGACAAUGGGCGAAAGCCUGAUCCAGCCAUGCCGCGUGUGUGAAGAAGGUCUUCGGAUUGUAAAGCACUUUAAGUUGGGAGGAAGGGCAGUAAGCGAAUACCUUGCUGUUUUGACGUUACCGACAGAAUAAGCACCGGCUAACUCUGUGCCAGCAGCCGCGGUAAUACAGAGGGUGCAAGCGUUAAUCGGAAUUACUGGGCGUAAAGCGCGCGUAGGUGGUUUGUUAAGUUGAAUGUGAAAUCCCCGGGCUCAACCUGGGAACUGCAUCCAAAACUGGCAAGCUAGAGUAGGGCAGAGGGUGGUGGAAUUUCCUGUGUAGCGGUGAAAUGCGUAGAUAUAGGAAGGAACACCAGUGGCGAAGGCGACCACCUGGGCUCAUACUGACACUGAGGUGCGAAAGCGUGGGGAGCAAAC